RNAcentral lists this ribosomal RNA (1548 nucleotides) under metagenome. RNAcentral's name for it is "bacterial SSU rRNA". It matches the Rfam family "Bacterial small subunit ribosomal RNA". The record is from RNAcentral.
AGAGUUUGAUCCUGGCUCAGAGUGAACGCUGGCGGUGUGGAUUAGGCAUGCAAGUCGAGCGAUCCUUGUGGAAGUCUUUGCGAACUGCUUGCAGGGAGCAAAGACGGGAGCGCUGGAUAGCGGCAAACGGGUGAGGAACACGUGAGUAAUUUGCCUAAAAGUCGAGAAUAGCUUCGUGAAAACGGAGGUAAUGUUCGAUGUGCCCUUAUGAUCGCAUGGUUAUAAGGGUAAAGGUGGGGACCGUAAGGCCUGCCGCUUUUAGAUGAGCUCGCGUCCUAUCAGCUUGUUGGUGGGGUAACGGCCUACCAAGGCAUUUGACGGGUAGCUGGUCUGAGAGGAUGGUCAGCCACACUGGGACUGAGACACUGCCCAGACUCCUACGGGAGACUGCAGUCGAGAAUCUUUAGCAAUGGGCGAAAGCCUGACUAAGCGACACCGCGUGAAGGACGAAGGUUUUCGGAUCGUAAACUUCUUUUAUCAGGAAAGAAACUCCGCCAACUAAUAUUUGGCGGACUGACGGUACCUGAUGAAUAAGCCACGGCCAACUCCGUGCCAGCAGCCGCGGUAAUACGGAGGUGGCAAGCGUUACUCGGAUUUAUUGGGUGUAAAGGGCAAGUAGGCGGUCUAUUAAGUGAGGGGUGAAAUCUUCCGGCUCAAUCGGAAAACUGCCUUCCAAACUGAUAGACUUGAGAUUGGAAGAGGGAAAUGGAAUUAGCGGUGUAAGGGUGAAAUCUGUAGAUAUCGCUAAGAACACCAGCGGCGAAGGCGAUUUCCUGGUCCAAUUCUGACGCUUAAUUGCGAAAGCUAGGGUAGCGAACAGAAUUAGAUACUCUGGUAGUCCUAGCUGUAAACGAUGAGCACUAGGUGUUGGUCCUUCGGGAUCAGUGCCGCAGCUAACGCAAUAAGUGCUCCACCUGGGGACUACGGCCGCAAGGCUAAAACUCAAAGGAAUUGACGGGGACCCGCACAAGCGGUGGAACAUGUGGUUUAAUUCGAUGCUACGCGAAGAACCUCACCAGGGCUUGACAUGUAUGCAGUAGUGAACCGAAAGGGGAACGAGCCGUUAAGUCCGGAUACAUACACAGGUGCUGCAUGGCUGUCGUCAGCUCGUGUCGUGAGAUGUUGGGUUAAGUCCCGCAACGAGCGCAACCAUUGCCCCAUGUUGCUACCCCCAAAAUCAGCUUGCUGAAUUUGGGGCGCACUCUUGGGGGACUGCCUGGGAUAACCAGGAGGAAGGUGGAGAUGACGUCAAGUCAGUACGGCCUUUAUGCCCUGGGCUACACACGUGUUACAAUGGUAGGUACAGAGGGUUGCCAACCCGUAAGGGGGAGCUAAUCUCAAAAAACCUGCCUCAGUUCGGAUUGGAGUCUGCAAUUCGACUCCAUGAAGCUGGAAUCGCUAGUAAUGGGAGAUCAGCUCGCUCCCGUGAAUACGUUCCCGGGUCUUGUACACACCGCCCGUCAAGCGAUGGAAGCCGGGAGUACCCGAAGUCCUGUGUAGGCAGGCCGAAGGUAAAACUGGUGACUGGCGCUAAGUCGGAACAAGGUA